GGUGGCUCAGUGGUAGAGUGCUUGCCUUGCAUGCAUGAGGUCCUGGGUUCGAUUUCUCAACACCA
RNAcentral lists this transfer RNA (65 nucleotides) under Dipodomys ordii (Ord's kangaroo rat). It matches the Rfam family "tRNA". Rfam says of the family: Transfer RNA (tRNA) molecules are approximately 80 nucleotides in length. Their secondary structure includes four short double-helical elements and three loops (D, anti-codon, and T loops). Further hydrogen bonds mediate the characteristic L-shaped molecular structure. tRNAs have two regions of fundamental functional importance: the anti-codon, which is responsible for specific mRNA codon recognition, and the 3' end, to which the tRNAs corresponding amino acid is attached (by aminoacyl-tRNA synthetases). tRNAs cope with the degeneracy of the genetic code in two manners: having more than one tRNA (with a specific anti-codon) for a particular amino acid; and 'wobble' base-pairing, i.e. permitting non-standard base-pairing at the 3rd anti-codon position. The record is from Rfam by way of RNAcentral. Lineage: Eukaryota; Metazoa; Chordata; Mammalia; Rodentia; Heteromyidae.